RNAcentral lists this long non-coding RNA (820 nucleotides) under Papio anubis (olive baboon). RNAcentral's name for it is "lncRNA (ENSPANG00000036790.2)". The record is from RNAcentral. Lineage: Eukaryota; Metazoa; Chordata; Mammalia; Primates; Cercopithecidae.
GGAGUUAGUAAACAUAAAGCCUUGAGAAGACACCGUGCCCAUAGUAUGCAUUGUGAAAAUGUGAGCUCACUCUUUCUCUUAUUUCUACCUAGAUAAAGUCCCCACUGAAGUUGUCUUGAAGAGUGAAAGUGACUUUUGCAAAGAUUACGUGAGCCGGACUUUGCCUGCUCUCUCCCGGAAUUCUGUUCCCUGCCCAACACAAUUCUAUGAUUGGCACAUGAUCAAGAGACCCAACAGAGGGACUUCUAUCAGGGAAGACCGAAGACAUUGGUUGGCACAUUUGCUACUUUUCCUGAAACCUUCUUUUCCCUGUGGUGUGCCAGAUUGGUGAGGAUGCGAAUCACUGUGCACUGCCUGACUUUUCCAAGCCAGGGUAAGGCUCUAAUGUGGGGGCUUUGGAUCUUGAGCAGAGCAAUCUGAGACGAAAAGGCAUAGCUGGAGUUCCUUCCUUCCAGCAUCAGCACUGUGGUGUGACUGUUACCAAUUCCUGGUGCACAGAGCUAGAGAGUAGCCCUGGUUUCUACCUUGUUUCUGACCUGAUCUUCAUUCCAGGAUUUCUGUCAGUCCUAUUAACCAUCGAAAUCCUGCCAGUAAAUUGCUCUUUUGCUUAAAUUAUUGAGAAUUGGCCUCUAUUGCCUGCAACCAAAAUCUGUCAUUCUUACACUUCUCAACAGAGUAAACUGCUAUGCAUCCUCCAGCUGCAAGGGAUUGAACGCUAUCAACAACCAUAUGAAUGGAGAAGCGGUUGCUUCCCUAGCUGAGCCUCAGGUAAGAACCCAGACCUGGCCAACACCUUAAUGGCAGCUUUGUGAAACCCUAA